UACGAAGGGGGCUAGCGUUGUUCGGAUUUACUGGGCGUAAAGCGCACGUAGGCGGAUCUUUAAGUCGGGGGUGAAAUCCUGGAGCUCAACUCCAGAACUGCCUUCGAUACUGGGGAUCUAGAGUCCGGAAGAGGUGAGUGGAACUCCUAGUGUAGAGGUGGAAUUCGUAGAUAUUCGCAAGAACACCAGUGGCGAAGGCGGCUCACUGGCCCGGUACUGACGCUGAGGUGCGAAAGCGUGGGGAGCAAACAGG
Molecule: ribosomal RNA, 253 nt
Filed under: uncultured bacterium
Lineage: Bacteria
Description: partial 16S ribosomal RNA
Rfam family: Bacterial small subunit ribosomal RNA
Source: RNAcentral